AUGUGAAAAGGAAUUCUGCCAGUGAAAAUGGAUAAUAUUACAUAGGCACACAUAACUUGUGUUUAUUUCCUAGACAUGGGAGGGUUUAGUCUUGUUAUUGGACAUUUAUUUCAGAUAAAUUGUUAAUUUUGAUUAAUGGUUAUUUCAUGGCUUGGAAACAAGAAACUUUGAAUUGUUUCUUUUCAUGUGAAACUAUCUUUCCAUGGACUAAGAAAAGUUUUUUAUCGAGAGCUCAUGGGCUUACAAAUAUUAUAAAGUGAAGCAAUUUGUAUCGAAUAGUAAUCCUCUGCUGUGAAGUGUUCGUCCCACUGAAGCUUCCAUUGAGCACCAUGGACUAGGGAAAGAUUUUUUGUCGAAAGCUAUUUGGAUUAUUUGAUGGUUAAAUAUCUAGGAAACUGCUGAAAAUAGUGUAUCAAAGAAUAAUCCUUCGUGAAGUAACCAUCAUCGAAAGAUUAAUUCUUUGUCUAACAGUAACCAGACAUUUCUUGGCAAUUACAGAAGAUAAUUUGAAUAAUGAUGAGUGCCGUCACAAACGUAAUUGCCAAAUCAAGCACCAAACAAAUGAAAUGCAUAUUGCGCGAGUGUCUGGUCAGCGGUUUUACGAUUUUACCGGAAACAAUAAUUUGCUGGACGUCUUCGCCAAUUUCGAUCCCACAUUUACUUUCCUCUGAGUUAUCAAUGGAGCUCCAUUACGUCUCGCUCUUUACGUUUCGCUCGUCUCGUUACUGUCGGAUCGCCGAUAACGAAACCAACAAUUUGGUGACAUCAAAUUAA
Daphnia pulicaria is the source of this 774-nucleotide long non-coding RNA. RefSeq lists it as uncharacterized. The record is from RefSeq and is a predicted model, not a curated record. The transcript is spliced from 5 exons. NCBI's taxonomy places the organism in Eukaryota, Metazoa, Arthropoda, Branchiopoda, Diplostraca, Daphniidae.